This is a long non-coding RNA of Ictalurus punctatus (channel catfish), 2774 nucleotides long. NCBI's taxonomy places the organism in Eukaryota, Metazoa, Chordata, Actinopteri, Siluriformes, Ictaluridae. The record is from Ensembl.
GUUAAACUGUGUUCCUAUUGAUUUUGUCUCAGUCAUCAUUUCAAUCAUCAAUCCUUUAUAACUCUGUGCUAGAGACAUUAAAAUGCAUGCUACUUCCCUGGGCUAUACUGGCAAUAAGUUUUAUAGGUCCCAUUUUUAUGCUGUAUUUUAUUUAGUUUGAUAUUCUUCUGCAAAUAUGCACAGAUACAGCAGGCAGUCUUGUAUUAGGCAUUGCAACAUGGGAACAAAUUGGAAGGCUACUAGUGUUGAGUUUAAAAGUAAAGCUGCCAGUGAGACCCCCACCGAUCUCCCCAUACUUAGUGCUUUAUGGUGCACGACUUCACGGAAACCAUGUGACUUUCCCACAUAGCAAAACAGAGGGAGAAGAGGAGGAAAAGGGGGAAGGGGAUCAAUGGAGGUACAAGGACGUCUUUGACAGCAAGGGGUAGAAAACGCAAAGAAAGAUUAAAAUGGUGCGGAGAGGAGAGGGGGACAGGAGAGUCACAGGGCAAGACCUAAUUUAGGAUGAAAGAAAGAAGACAAAGGGACCGUGAGAAAGCUGAGAGACAAUCCUGACCGUAAAUCCUGUCUGCAAAACAAAGGCAGGUUUGGCACUGCCAUCAUCCUUGGAGAUUGACUUCCUGCUCGGAACCAAUAAAGGAGGAAGAAAAAAACAGUAAAGGCUCAGCAAGUGCUGGCAGAUGGCAGGUCUUACUUUGGUAAAGUCACCCCUGUUUGGGAUAUUAAAGGGUUUGACCAGUAAAAUACAGUCAAAAGCAAAGGCAUGGCAAUAUGGUCAAAUUUAUUCUGUUGGAUUAAAAAGUGUAUCAUACAAAAAUAUUUUAUCAGUCAGUACAUUUACAGUCAGUACAGAUGACAGCAUUACUGAUGAACAGCAGGUGUCAAAUAGUAGCAACAGGCUCUUGUGUAUGUUUUACCAGUCUGGGGAAAGGGGUUUUCAUUAUGCAGGUGACGGACUGUGAUGCCUUAGGGUUCUACCGGAAAAACUAGAUCAAGUUAAUGGCUGUAUAGUGACUGAGAAAUGAGACACACUGCGAGUGUGAGAUAAACAGUGAGUGAGCAGAUGUCUCACACACAGAGCACAUAUUACACUUCCUUUACUGGAAUAGCAUGUCAUUGCUUUGUCAUGUGUCUAUGCAGACACAGAGGGUGUGCAUACAGAAGAUUCCUAACAUCACUGUCAUUAAUAUCAAAUUUAAUGCUUAAAAAUAGUAAGCCACAUAGUUUAUACUGUCAUGUUUACAACCAUUUGUCAACAAUGAAAGUCCAUUCUGCAUGCAGCCUGGCAAGGUGCUCUGAUAGCAGUACCUAAUGAUCAUAUUUGCAUUUGAUCAUAGGCAUUACUAGGAGUGUGUGGAUUUAAAACUGGAUGAUUGACACAGAAAGUGGAACGGCACCAUCCUCCAUCUGCAAGUGCUCAUGUGUGAUAUAUACAAUUGUAUGGUCUAUUUUCAGCCCGAGGGUUUAUGGUUAUUGGAAAGGCGUCAUCCCCUCUCUGCUUUCCGAGAAGGAGUCAAUAUUUCUCUGUCUCUUCUUUUCACAGUUAAUCCAAUUUUGUGUCAGAAAAAAACAGCUCAGCUGAGAGAUCCAGCAUAUUUCUGCAGCAUGUACAGAGCAAGCAUGUGGGCAAACACACACACACACACACACACACACACACACACACACACACACACACACACACACACACACACACAAGAAAGUGUGUGACUCUGGGUUUCUUUCCUUACAUACAUAACUGAUUAAAAGGAAACUGUCAUCAUCUUCUACCUCUUCUUCUACUUGAAGCUUCUGCACCCUCUGCUGCUGUGGAUGGUACCACACUGAUACCCUAAAGAUUGCAGUCCUCAAAGAUGAUUAUGUCCAAGACUUACCCUUUCUUUAGUGGAUAAUCCCAUGUGGGUACUGUAGAUUUAUACUCAAGAACUGCUUCUGUAAUUGUAAAGACUAUUCCGUGCUCAUUUCAGGACUCUUAUUUAUAAUAUGCUCAUACUGAACAUCUUUUCAACACACUUAUUACUGUUUGACUUUCCACUUCUACAACUGCAUACGGUAAUGAUUUAUAAUCCCACUUUCAGUUACACCCACAAGAAAGUGGGUUAUCUUUGUAAGAAUGUAAUAAAAGUGCUAUGCAAAUAAACUAAAUUGAAUAAUCAUCAUCCAACCCCACUCAAAAUGAAUUUCCAUUAGAAUAGUAAAAAAAAAAAAGAAAAAAAAGAAAGAUUAUCUGCAGUUACUGCAAAAGUAUAAUUUUUUGAAAGGAUGUGACAUUGCAGAGAAAUACACAAAAUCUGUUCAAAUAUUAAUUACAAGGGGAUGAAAGGAUGAAUAUUGAUUCAUCUUCAGUAAUUGCUUCUCAGAGUCAUGGUGGAUCCAGAGCGUAUCACAGGAACAAUGGGUGUGAGGCAGUAAUUCAUCCUUGAUGUGCCUCCAGCCCAUUGCAGGUCACCGUACACAUACACUUCACACACUGCUUCAUAGCUAGGGGCAAUUAAGAGUCCAGAAUGUUUUUUGUUGGAAGUGAGAAGAACACGGAGAACCUGUAGGAAAUGAAUGUGUACAUAACAAGAACAUGUGAAACUCCACACAUACAGCAACACGAGUUCAGGAUUUAAUUUACUUCAUAAAAUUAAUACUGCAACAAAUGAUAUUACCAAAUCAUGAUAAGAUUACUUAGACAUAUUUACUAAAUUCAAGCUUUCUAUUAGCAGUUAAUUUAGCUCCUUUCAAGAAAUAAACACUAUCUCAAAAUAAGCAAAAUGAUCUGCCAGGGG